This 253-nucleotide ribosomal RNA is filed under the name uncultured bacterium. RNAcentral's name for it is "partial 16S ribosomal RNA". It matches the Rfam family "Bacterial small subunit ribosomal RNA", at positions 524 to 776 of the family's 1533-position model. The record is from RNAcentral.
UACGGAGGGGGCGAGCGUUGUCCGAAGUUACUGGGCGUAAAGCGCGCGUAGGCGGGUUGGUAAGUCCGCUGUGAAAGCCCGGAGCUCAACUCCGGAGGGUCGGUGGAUACUGCCAGUCUUGAAGGUGCUAGGGGGAGAUGGAAUUACCGGUGUAGCGGUGAAAUGCGUAGAGAUCGGUAGGAACACCAGUGGCGAAGGCGGUCUCCUGGGGCAUACUUGACGCUGAGGCGCGAAAGCUGGGGGAGCGAACGGG